GACGAACGCUGGCGGCGUGCUUAACACAUGCAAGUCGAACGGAAAGGCCCUGCUUUUGUGGGGUGCUCGAGUGGCGAACGGGUGAGUAACACGUGAGUAACCUGCCCUUGACUGUGGGAUAACUUCAGGAAACUGGGGCUAAUACCGGAUAGGAGCUCCUGCUGCAUGGUGGGGGUUGGAAAGUUUCGGCGGUUGGUGAUGGAAUCGCGGCUUAUCAGCUUGUUGGUGGGGUAGUGUCUUACCAAGGCUUUGACCGGUAGCCGGCCUGCGAGGGUGACCGGCCACAUUGGGACUGAGCUGCGGCACAGACUCCUACGGGACGCAGGAGUGGGGAAUAGUGCACAAGAGGCGGGAGCAUGACGCAGCAACGCCGCGUGCGGGAUGACGGCCUUCGGGUUGUAAACCGCUUUCGCCUGUGACGAAGCGUGAGUGACGGUAAUGGGUAAAGAAGCACCGGCUAACUACGUG
This 468-nucleotide ribosomal RNA is filed under the name uncultured bacterium. RNAcentral's name for it is "partial 16S ribosomal RNA". It matches the Rfam family "Bacterial small subunit ribosomal RNA", at positions 28 to 507 of the family's 1533-position model. The record is from RNAcentral.